AUGGUGAAUAACCGUUCUGUGGUUGAACAAGCUCAUGAGAUACAGUGCAUUUUGAAGGAACUUGAACUCCUUAAAUGUGUUCUACCCGACAAAUUCGUGGCUGGGUGCAUGAUUGCAAAAUUGCCUCCUUCAUGGAGGAAUUUCGCCACAACUCUGAAGCAUAAGAGACAGGAGAUAUCAGUUGAAAAUCUGAUUGCAUCUCUUGAUGUUGAAGAAAAAGCUCGGGCUAAAGAUACCACUGAAAAAGGAGGUGAGAUUCAGCCUACUGCUAACAUGGUGCAGAGGUACCCACAGAACAAGAACAAAGGGAAGAACAAACCUGUUUUCAACAAGCCUACCAAGACUACUACCUUCAAGAAGAAGAAGUUCAACAAGGCUGAGCUAGAGUGCUACGCCUGUGGGAAGCCUGGACACUUUUCCAAGGAAUGCCCUGAACGUGCAGACCGCAGAGGGAAAACAAGCUCCAAGACUGUCAACAUGGUGACCGCUAGCAAUACUGAUGGGUAUGGUCGCAAGGGAUUCUUCCGUCCUAAUGGGGAAUGGGUCACAUGCUUCUGUUCGUGGCAUUGGCACGGCUAUGAGUGCGGAGGCUUGUUCCGCUUUUCUCUUUCAGAUUUUUGCAAUAAGUCAAUAAACCAAAUUUGUGCUAGUGUUAAUGAUGAUGCAAGUAUUUGGCACUCUCGUUUAUGUCAUAUUAAUUUUGGUUUAAUGUCUCGGCUAUCCAGCAUAAGUUUAAUUCCGAACUUCACAGUUGCCAAAGGUUCUAAGUGCCAUAGUUGUGUGCAAUCUAAGCAACCUCGAAAGCCUCAUAAGGCUGCCGAGGAGAGAAACUUGGCACCUCUAGAACUCAUACAUUCUGAUCUUUGUGAGAUGAAUGGUGUGUUGACAAAAGGUGGAAAGAGAUAUUUCAUGACUUUGAUUGAUGAUGCGACUAGAUUUUGCUAUGUUUAUUUGUUGCAAACUAAAGAUGAAGCAUUAGACUACUUUAAAAUCUAUAAAGCUGAAGUUGAAAAUCAACUAGAGAGAAAGAUCAAGCGUCUUAGGUCCGAUCGUGGUGGAGAGUAUUUUCCAAAAGUUUUUGAUGAAUUUUGUGAGGAACAUGGUAUUAUUCAUGAGAGGACGCCUCCCUAUUCACCUCAAUCAAAUGGAGUGGCCGAGAGGAAAAACCGCACAUUGACUGACUUAGUGAAUGCCAUGUUAGACACUGCUGGUUUAUCUAAGGCAUGGUGGGGGGAGCUAAAGCCUGAUGAUACUAUUGAUAAGUACAAGGCGCGGCUAGUGGCCAAGGGCUACACUCAGAAAGAAGGCGAAGAUUACUUUGACACCUAUUCACCCGUUGCUAGAAUGACCACCAUUCGAGUGUUACUUUCCUUGGCUGCCUCUUAUGGUCUUAUCAUUCAUCAAAUGGAUGUAAAGACAGCUUUUCUCAAUGGAGAGUUGGAAGAGGAGAUCUAUAUGGAUCAGCCUGACGGGUUUGUGGUAAAGGGUGAAGAGAGAAAGGUGUGCAAGUUGUUAAAAUCUUUGUAUGGUCUGAAACAGGCACCUAAGCAAUGGCAUGAGAAGUUUGAAAGAACUCUGACUUCUGCAGGAUUUGUCAUUAACGAGGCUGAUAGGUGUGUUUACUAUCGCCAUGGUGGGGGCAAUAGUCUCAUAUUAUGUUUGUCUGUGGACGACAUACUGAUCUUUGGUACAAACAUUAAUGCAAUUAAUGAGGUCAAGUCUUUUCUAUCAAAAAGUUUUGACAUGAAAGAUCUGGGAGAAGCCGAUGUAAUUCUAAACAUCAAACUUAUUAAGGAUGAGAGUGGGAUUACAUUAACGCAAUCUCACUAUGUUGAGAAGGUCUUGAACCGAUUCGGUUUUAUGGAUAGCAAGCCUUCUCCAACACCUUAUGAUCCCAGCGUGACACUCAGAAAGAACAAGAAAGAAACGAGAGAUCAAUUAAGAUACUCUCAAAUUGUCGGUUCACUCAUGUACUUAGCUAGCGCUACAAGACCAGCUAUCUCUUUUGCUGUGAGCAAACUGAGUAGGUUCAUGUCCAACCCGGGUGAUGAUCAUUGGCAUGCACUAGAAAGGGUCUUGCGCUAUCUGAGAGGUACUAUGAGUUACGGAAUUACUUAUUCAGGGCAUCCUGCUGUGCUAGAAGGAUAUAGUGAUUCAAAAUGGAUCUCCGAUGUUGAUGUACUUUACGCAACAAGUGGGUAUGUAUUUACUCAUGGUGGUGGCGCAGUGUCAUGGAGGUCUUGCAAGCAAACCAUAUUGACGAGGUCAACUAUGGAAGCAGAAUUAACUGCUUUGGACACAGCUACUGUUGAGGCAGAAUGGCUGCGUGAGCUCUUGAUGGACUUGCCGGUUGUUGAAAAACCUGUACCGGCUAUUCUUAUGAAUUGUGAUAACCAAACGGUUAUCGCUAAAGUGAACAAUUCUAAAGAUAAUGCAAAGUCAUCAAGACACAUGAAAAGACGUUUGAAGUCUGUCAGGAAGUUGAGAAACUCCGGAGUAAUAACUGUUACGUAUAUACAAACAGACAAAAACCUGGCAGAUCCCUUUACAAAGGGACAAUCACGAAAUGUGAUAGAUAUUGCAUCGAGGGAGAUGGGUAUGAGACCCAUAGCAGUCUUGAAAGAACACACCUAUAUGAGUUCUGACUGUAAACGUCGCAGUCUAUGA
This 2667-nucleotide ribosomal RNA is filed under the name Triticum aestivum (bread wheat). Its description in RNAcentral is "partial small subunit ribosomal RNA". The record is from RNAcentral. Lineage: Eukaryota; Viridiplantae; Streptophyta; Magnoliopsida; Poales; Poaceae.